Molecule: ribosomal RNA, 253 nt
Filed under: uncultured bacterium
Lineage: Bacteria
Description: partial 16S ribosomal RNA
Rfam family: Bacterial small subunit ribosomal RNA
Source: RNAcentral
UACGUAGGUGGCAAGCGUUGUCCGGAUUUACUGGGCGUAAAGAGCGCGCAGGCGGUCGUUCAAGUCGCGUGUGAAAGCCCCCGGCUCAACUGGGGAGGGUCACGCGAUACUGAUCGACUCGAAGGCAGGAGAGGGUAGUGGAAUUCCCGGUGUAGUGGUGAAAUGCGUAGAUAUCGGGAGGAACACCAGUGGCGAAGGCAGCUCGCUGGGACGUAACUGACGCUGAGACGCGAAAGCGUGGGGAGCAAACAGG